GCAAUAACCAUAAGCAUGGACCUGAAAAUUGUGGCUGCUUCCAUCAUGUUACUGCUUUUAUGUUCUGAAGUAUCCAGCUAUCGCCUGCAGAAACGAGAAGUUCAGGAGGAAGACACGAUUAGUCAAAUUCAGGAAGCGGCUAAAAAAUACUGGGAUCAAGUUUCCGGGACAGCCCAGAGCUGGUCUGAUGCAGUCAAGUCUAUGACCGUUUAUGAGAAAGCCCGUGACGCCUACGAGAAAGCUACCUCAGCCGUGAGCACUUACUUUGGCAUCUUCUCGGAUCAAGUCAUCCACUGGUGGCAAGAUGCUGAUCAUUAAAACAGAGCCGUCAUUUCCCUUCGGUGGAGACGGGCUAAUGAGUUUCGGCGAGCCAAUGACACCACCACCCGGCCCUCUUUUCCCCCCACACAUUUUGAGAACAAAGACAAUUUGCUGCCGACAAGGAGAAUAAAGUUCUUUCCCUUUUUUGCUCUGUUCA
RNAcentral lists this long non-coding RNA (478 nucleotides) under Pogona vitticeps (central bearded dragon). RNAcentral's name for it is "lncRNA (ENSPVIG00000021668.1)". Lineage: Eukaryota; Metazoa; Chordata; Lepidosauria; Squamata; Agamidae. The record is from RNAcentral.